Molecule: ribosomal RNA, 425 nt
Filed under: uncultured bacterium
Lineage: Bacteria
Description: partial 16S ribosomal RNA
Rfam family: Bacterial small subunit ribosomal RNA
Source: RNAcentral
GUGGGGAAUCUUAGACAAUGGGGGAAACCCUGAUCUAGCCAUGCCGCGUGAGCGAUGAAGGCCUUAGGGUUGUAAAGCUCUUUCAGCUGGGAAGAUAAUGACUGUACCAGCAGAAGAAGCCCCGGCUAACUCCGUGCCAGCAGCCGCGGUAAUACGGAGGGGGCUAGCGUUGUUCGGAAUUACUGGGCGUAAAGCGCACGUAGGCGGACCGGAAAGUCAGAGGUGAAAUCCCAGGGCUCAACCUUGGAACUGCCUUUGAAACUCCUGGUCUUGAGUGCGAGAGAGGUGAGUGGAAUUCCGAGUGUAGAGGUGAAAUUCGUAGAUAUUCGGAGGAACACCAGUGGCGAAGGCGGCUCACUGGCUCGAUACUGACGCUGAGGUGCGAAAGCGUGGGGAGCAAACAGGAUUAGAUACCCGUGUAGUCC